RNAcentral lists this ribosomal RNA (462 nucleotides) under uncultured bacterium. Its description in RNAcentral is "partial 16S ribosomal RNA". It matches the Rfam family "Bacterial small subunit ribosomal RNA", at positions 28 to 507 of the family's 1533-position model. The record is from RNAcentral.
GACGAACGCUGGCGGCGUGCUUAACACAUGCAAGUCGAGCGGUAAGGCCUUUCGGGGUCCACGAGCGGCGAACGGGUGAGUAACACGUGGGUGAUCUGCCCUGCACUUCGGGAUAAGCCUGGGAAACUGGGUCUAAUACCGGAUAUGACCUCCUAUCGCAUGGUGGGUGGGGGAAAGAUUUAUCGGUGCAGGAUGGGCCCGCGGCCUACCAGCUUGUUGGUGGGGUAAUGGCCUACCAAGGCGACGACGGGUAGCCGACCUGAGAGGGUGACCGGCCACACUGCGACUGAGACACGGCCCAGACUCCUACGGGAGGCAGCAGUGGGGAAUAUUGCACAAUGGGCGACAGCCUGAUGCAGCGACGCCGCGUGAGGGAUGACGGCCUUCGGGUUGUAACCCUCUUUCAGCAGGGACGAAGCGCAAGUGACGGUACCUGCAGAAGAAGCACCGGCUAACUACGUG